This 526-nucleotide ribosomal RNA is filed under the name uncultured eukaryote. RNAcentral's name for it is "SSU rRNA". It matches the Rfam family "Eukaryotic small subunit ribosomal RNA", at positions 79 to 604 of the family's 1831-position model. The record is from RNAcentral.
CAGCGAAACUGCGAAUGGCUCAUUAUAUAAGUUCAUCUUAUUAUAUUUGAUAGUGCCUUACUACUUGGAUAACCGUGGUAAUUCUAGAGCUAAUACAUGCUAAAAACCCCGACUUCGGAAGGGGUGUAUUUAUUAGAUACAAAACCAAUGCCCUUCGGGGCUCUUUGGUGAUUCAUGAUAACUAUACGAAUCGCACGGCCUUGCGCCGGCGAUGGUUCAUUCAAAUUUCUUCCCUAUCAACUUUCGAUGUUUGGGUAUUGGCCAAACAUGGUUGCAACGGGUAACGGAGGGUUAGGGCUCGACCCCGGAGAAGGAGCCUGAGAAACGGCUACUACAUCCAAGGAAGGCAGCAGGCGCGCAAAUUACCCAAUCCCGACUCGGGGAGGUAGUGACAAUAAAUACUGAUACAGGGCCCUUUCGGGCCUUGUAAUUGGAAUCACUACACUUUAAAUCCCUUAACGAGGAACAAUUGGAGGGCAAGUCUGGUGCCAGCAGCCGCGGUAAUUCCAGCUCCAAUAGCGUAUAU